GUCCACGCCCUAAACGAUGGACACUACGUGCCGGCGGGUCUCCGUCGGUGCCGCAGCUAACGCAGUAAGUGUCCCGCCUGGGGAGUACGGCCGCAAGGUUGAAACUCAAAGGAAUUGACGGGGGCCCGCACAAGCGGUGGAGCAUGUGGUUUAAUUCGACGCAACGCGAAGAACCUUACCCAGGCUGGACAUGCUGGUUCGUACCGACCAGAAACGGAAGGGAGCCCGCAAGGGCCGCCAGCUCAGGUGCUGCAUGGCUGUCGU
RNAcentral lists this ribosomal RNA (264 nucleotides) under uncultured bacterium. Its description in RNAcentral is "partial 16S ribosomal RNA". It matches the Rfam family "Bacterial small subunit ribosomal RNA", at positions 793 to 1055 of the family's 1533-position model. The record is from RNAcentral.